RNAcentral lists this long non-coding RNA (242 nucleotides) under Elaeis guineensis (African oil palm). RNAcentral's name for it is "long non-coding RNA (EGUI_LNC062594)". The record is from RNAcentral. Lineage: Eukaryota; Viridiplantae; Streptophyta; Magnoliopsida; Arecales; Arecaceae.
AGAUGGUUGAUUAAUGAUUGUGAAUCAUUAAACGAUAUAAUUCUCAAUGUGAUUGAUGAUUAACUUUAUAUAAAAAUUAUAAUUAUGUAAGUUACUAAGUGUUAGUGAAUUAUAAGAAGAUUAAUUAGCAAUUAGAUUGCUAGUUGGCUCAAUUUGAUUGAGCAAUGAGUUCGGAUCAAGUCUAAUUAAAUUGGAUUCAUUUUGACUUGGAUUGGGUUUGAUUGGAUCCAACCUAAAUGCAA